This 1050-nucleotide ribosomal RNA is filed under the name Triticum aestivum (bread wheat). RNAcentral's name for it is "partial small subunit ribosomal RNA". The record is from RNAcentral. Lineage: Eukaryota; Viridiplantae; Streptophyta; Magnoliopsida; Poales; Poaceae.
GCUUAACUCAGAAUGAAAACAUUGCGCUAUCAUCAAUCUAUCGCUGCCACCGAGGUGGAAAAUCCAUAUAAUACAACAAAGUACAUGAUCACAAUCCGGCUGAGAAGGCUGAAAUCGCCCCCCUUUUGCUGCGGCAGAAAUUACCACUAGUAUCUGGAACGAGGAGGGCGACCUGCAGCUCGAAUCGAUUCGAAGCGCGUGAUCCUGUGGCUUGGCUAGGGCUUGGCGGGAUCCGGGCUGGGCGGGAGUCCGCUCCUCCGGCUCCAGCCGCGGCUGCGCGCUUGCGGGCGAUGAAGGCCUGGAAGACCUCGCGGCGCCGGGCGGCCUUGGCGCGCGAGGGCUCGAUGUUGGCGUAGGAGAGGCGGGCGGCGACGGCGGUGAGCGCGGCCCCGGUGAGGAAGAGGCCGGCGGGUCGCCAUGUACUGCAGCCACACCAUCGCCUCCAACGAGUAGUACAGAGACCCUAGUCUCGGCCUCUCGGGGGCACGGAAGACGGGAUGGACAUGUUGGCGCAAAACGAAUGGUGAAGGCGGAUUCACGGCACUACGUCUUGGCAUGUCGAGAACGCUGCGCACACAUCGAGCAGAGUUUUCUUGGGAAUCAGAGAGCAGAGGAUGAAAUUAAGCAGCUCGCAUCAUCAAUUCAUUGAUGGACAUGGACUAAUUACAGCAGGCACGCAAGCAUGAACUGCACCCUAGUAUGGUAUAUACACACACAACACCAUGGUAGGAGUACUAAACACUCUGUCUAAUUGAUCCGGCCAAUCAGCGAAGACUUUGCGCAAGGUCGACGGUGGCGCUGCUGCUGCUGUGGGCGCUGGGCGAGCUGGCGGGGACGCCGUCGUCGUCUUCCCUUCUGUUGCUGGUGCCAGUGUAGUCGUCCUCCUCGGAGAUGGGGUCGAGGCAGCUCUCUGCUGCUUGGCGGAGGCGGAGUCUCUGUAGUUGCACGACAUGGAGGGUCUCCGGCGGGGCCGCCUCGUCCGCGGCGAAGCGGCCGAGCGUGCAGGAUCUCUCGGCGGGGGCCAUGAUGGCUACAGUUCACUGGUGUGGU